RNAcentral lists this ribosomal RNA (413 nucleotides) under uncultured bacterium. RNAcentral describes it as "bacterial SSU rRNA". It matches the Rfam family "Bacterial small subunit ribosomal RNA", at positions 358 to 774 of the family's 1533-position model. The record is from RNAcentral.
GGAAUAUUCCACAAUGGGGGGAACCCUGAUGGAGCGACGCCGCGUGAGUGAAGAAGGGCUUCGGCUCGUAAAGCUCUUUUCUCGUUGACGAAUUAGCCUUCGAGGCAGUUGACGGUAGACGGGGAAUAAGCCACGGCUAACUACGUGCCAGCAGCCGCGGUAAUACGUAGGUGGCAAGCGUUGUCCGGAAUUAUUGGGCGUAAAGGGAGCGCAGGCGGGACGGUAAGUCCAAAUUAAAAGUGCAGUAGUAAUGACUGUGAUGGUUUGGAAACUAUCGUUCUUGAGAGCAGGAGAGGCAAGCGGAAUUCCCAGUGUAGCGGUGAAAUGAGUAGAUAUCGGGAGGAACACCAGUGGCGAAGGCGGCUUGCUGGACUGUGUCUGACGCUGAGGCUCGAAAGCCGGGGUAGCGAACG